AAACCACGUUCAGGCCACUCCAAAAAGCCCAACACAUCGUGGACGCUGUAUAUUUUGUGUCACUAUAAAGUUUCUCACUCACUCUAAAAAUUAAUAAAAAUGUUCUAAAUCCAUGAACAUCUGACUAAUUUAAAUAUAAAACACACAAAAUAAAUGUCUACAUUUUUCAGGAAUUAGAGUUUUACCACCAGAGAUUUUCUGGCCCCUGCUACCAACACACUGCACAAUCUCAAAAUUUUACCCAGUAUAUUUGUGUAGUUUCUCUUCAGAAUAUCUAAUGACACUUUUAGUAUAUAAACACAUAAUGACCUAACAAGU
This is a long non-coding RNA of Thalassophryne amazonica, 318 nucleotides long. RefSeq lists it as uncharacterized. The record is from RefSeq and is a predicted model, not a curated record. The transcript has 3 exons. Lineage: Eukaryota; Metazoa; Chordata; Actinopteri; Batrachoidiformes; Batrachoididae.